CAAGAAGCCGAGAGGCUACUUCAAACCAUCGCGAACCCGUCCAAGUUGCUUCGGCGGCGCGGCAUCCCGUCACCGGGGCGCCGCAGCCCGGCCUCUCCGGAGGUGCGGGGCGCCCGCCGGAGGUACGAAACUCUGUAUUAUAGUGGCAUCUCUGAGUAAAAAGCAAAUAAGUUA
Molecule: unclassified non-coding RNA, 174 nt
Filed under: uncultured Sordariomycetes
Lineage: Eukaryota; Fungi; Ascomycota; Sordariomycetes
Description: sequence contains ITS1
Source: RNAcentral